GGCAACCAAAGGCGCGAGGUCUGACCCUUAAAGUGGCAGAGCUAUAUCUGAAAACUCCGUGCAUUUCACAGUUCUAUGUUGGAUGUUUAAGAGUUGGACCACCAAAAAAAAAAUCUCCAUUUUACCCCGAGAAUGAGGGCGAACUUCAAGAAGCACUCAAGAGUAUCAACAAACACUGGGGUUGUAGAGUGGAAUUAGCAAAAGAACAACUAGCUAUCCACAGUAGAUGUUUAACAUGUAAAGACGUUGUGUGAGCUUCAGUGCCCAUACAUGACCAAAGUUUUCCUGUCUUUCACACGUGAGGAUUACGAGAAGAGGUUUGAUCUCGUAGACAGUGUAACCCUACCUCCGCCUGGGCCCUAUUUGCGAAGAUACGUCUCUUAUUAAACUAAUGAUGUUUCAAACGAGUACAUCAGCCUUGAGACAGGUCUAGAUUUCUUCCAUGGAUGACGUUUCGAUCAGAAUGUGAAACUAGAGGCGAUUAUACAAAUUUUGAAAAUAAUUGUUUCAAAUGCAUGUAUGAAAUCAUUUGGAUUUUUCAAAUGUUAAAUGUGUCAAUUAGAAUGUGCAACGAAGUAGUAAUAUAUACAAUCAAAAUUAUGGUGUCUGAAUAAAAAAACGACUUCUCGGUACAAGUUAUCUGAAUAUGAUUAAGAGGGACUGUUUGAUCGCGAAUGUCACAUUAAGAAUAAAAUAUUGAUAUUUGUAAAGUUUAUAUAUGAUAAUUUCACCCGAAAAGAGGGUCAUCUAGAUCGUACAACGGAUAAGAUUUGGAUAAUAAAUUAAGCAUAAAGACUAAUCUUUAAACCGAUAUGUAUAAACUAAAAUGAGAGUCUUACAACAGACCAUCUAAAUAUUUAUAACGAUGGUUUUUGAAUGAUAAUUAGAUUUGUUUGUUUGAAGUUAAACACAAAGCUACACGAUGGGUUAUCUGUGCUCUGCCCACCACGGGUAUCGAAACCUGGUUUCUAGCGUUGUAAGUCCGAAGACAUACCGUCGUGCCACUGGGGGCUGAGAAUGAGAAGAAAAUGAAAAAUCAAUUAAAUUUCAAAAGUGUUAUUCGCAUUUCUAGAGCGGUAAUUUGAAAAGCAAGAAUCUAAGACUUCAGAGACUUAGAUUGGGUGUAAUGGUAAGUCUAAUGCCUGGGAAGAGAAAUGAGAAGUUCUGCCUAUAACUACUAACACUGUUUUAUUAGUUCUAUAUCGCAGUAUAGAAAUAAACGGGACUUUAUUCAUUAUUUUUUAUUUAGAGACGAAAAGGAAUGCAGAACAUUAUAAUUCGUAAAGGAUCUAAAUAAAGAUACAUCCAGUUUCUCUGAAUCUUAGUCACAACUUUUCUUUUUCUACUUUGAUCCAGCCUAAUUUAUGCUAUGUAAGACAUAAAACAAGCCGAAGAAGUUUUAUUGGUCCAAGAAAAAUAAAUAAAUUGUAUUCCACUAGCCGAGAGGACCUCACCAGUUAGAAAACAGCAUCUUGUAUUACAAAACGUAAUAUGUCAUGUAAGCUCGUGACAAACUAUGAUAAAAAAAGGACCCAGGGAAAGUCUAUGGGUAAAUCACUUUUCUAAAUAGAGAUUAUACAUACAUUCAAGUACCCCCCCCCCCAAAAAAAACUUCUAUUAUUCACACUAAUUAAGUGAAACAAAUCUUGUAAAUCAAAUCUUCCGAUCAAUAAAGAGCAACUGUUGAGUGAC
Molecule: long non-coding RNA, 1692 nt
Filed under: Limulus polyphemus (Atlantic horseshoe crab)
Lineage: Eukaryota; Metazoa; Arthropoda; Merostomata; Xiphosura; Limulidae
Description: uncharacterized LOC111084204
Source: RNAcentral